GACGAACGCUGGCGGCGUGCCUAAUACAUGCAAGUAGAACGCUGAAGAGAGGAGCUUGCUCUUCUUGGAUGAGUUGCGAACGGGUGAGUAACGCGUAGGUAACCUGCCUUGUAGCGGGGGAUAACUAUUGGAAACGAUAGCUAAUACCGCAUAACAAUGGAUGACACAUGUCAUUUAUUUGAAAGGGGCAAUUGCUCCACUACAAGAUGGACCUGCGUUGUAUUAGCUAGUAGGUGAGGUAAUGGCUCACCUAGGCGACGAUACAUAGCCGACCUGAGAGGGUGAUCGGCCACACUGGGACUGAGACACGGCCCAGACUCCUACGGGAGGCAGCAGUAGGGAAUCUUCGGCAAUGGGGGCAACCCUGACCGAGCAACGCCGCGUGAGUGAAGAAGGUUUUCGGAUCGUAAAGCUCUGUUGUAAGUCAAGAACGGGUGUGAGAGUGGAAAGUUCACACUGUGACGGUAGCUUACCAGAAAGGGACGGCUAACUACGUGUCAGCAGCCGCGGUAAUACGUAGGUCCCGAGCGUUGUCCGGAUUUAUUGGGCGUAAAGCGAGCGCAGGCGGUUUGAUAAGUCUGAAGUUAAAGGCUGUGGCUCAACCAUAGUUCGCUUUGGAAACUGUCAAACUUGGGUGCAGAAGGGGAGAGUGGAAUUCCAUGUGUAGCGGUGAAAUGCGUAGAUAUAUGGAGGAACACCGGUGGCGAAAGCGGCUCUCUGGUCUGUAACUGACGCUGAGGCUCGAAAGCGUGGGGAGCGAACAGGAUUAGAUACCCUGGUAGUCCACGCCGUAAACGAUGAGUGCUAGGUGUUGGAUCCUUUCCGGGAUUCAGUGCCGCAGCUAACGCAUUAAGCACUCCGCCUGGGGAGUACGACCGCAAGGUUGAAACUCAAAGGAAUUGACGGGGGCCCGCACAAGCGGUGGAGCAUGUGGUUUAAUUCGAAGCAACGCGAAGAACCUUACCAGGUCUUGACAUCCCGAUGCUAUUUCUAGAGAUAGAAAGUUACUUCGGUACAUCGGUGACAGGUGGUGCAUGGUUGUCGUCAGCUCGUGUCGUGAGAUGUUGGGUUAAGUCCCGCAACGAGCGCAACCCCUAUUGUUAGUUGCCAUCAUUCAGUUGGGCACUCUAGCGAGACUGCCGGUAAUAAACCGGAGGAAGGUGGGGAUGACGUCAAAUCAUCAUGCCCCUUAUGACCUGGGCUACACACGUGCUACAAUGGUUGGUACAACGAGUUGCGAGUCGGUGACGGCAAGCUAAUCUCUUAAAGCCAAUCUCAGUUCGGAUUGUAGGCUGCAACUCGCCUACAUGAAGUCGGAAUCGCUAGUAAUCGCGGAUCAGCACGCCGCGGUGAAUACGUUCCCGGGCCU
Molecule: ribosomal RNA, 1369 nt
Filed under: uncultured bacterium
Lineage: Bacteria
Description: bacterial SSU rRNA
Rfam family: Bacterial small subunit ribosomal RNA
Source: RNAcentral